GAUGAACGCUGGCGGCGUGCCUAAUACAUGCAAGUCGAGCGAACGGACGAGAAGCUUGCUUCUCUGAUGUUAGCGGCGGACGGGUGAGUAACACGUGGAUAACCUACCUAUAAGACUGGGAUAACUUCGGGAAACCGGAGCUAAUCCCGGAUAAUAUUUUGAACCGCAUGGUUCAAAAGUGAAAGACGGUCUUGCUGUCCCUUAUAGAUGGAUCCGCGCUGCAUUAGCUAGUUGGUAAGGUAACGGCUUACCAAGGCAACGAUGCAUAGCCGACCUGAGAGGGUGAUCGGCCACACUGGAACUGAGACACGGUCCAGACUCCUACGGGAGGCAGCAGUAGGGAAUCUUCCGCAAUGGGCGAAAGCCUGACGGAGCAACGCCGCGUGAGUGAUGAAGGUCUUCGGAUCGUAAAACUCUGUUAUUAGGGAAGAACAUAUGUGUAAGUAACUGUGCACAUCUUGACGGUACCUAAUCAGAAAGCCACGGCUAACUACGUG
This 497-nucleotide ribosomal RNA is filed under the name uncultured bacterium. RNAcentral's name for it is "partial 16S ribosomal RNA". It matches the Rfam family "Bacterial small subunit ribosomal RNA", at positions 28 to 507 of the family's 1533-position model. The record is from RNAcentral.